CACGCUGUAAACGAUGAGCACUAGGUGUCGGGGUCGCAAGGCUUCGGUGCCGUAGUUAACGCAUUAAGUGCUCCGCCUGGGGAGUACGUACGCAAGUAUGAAACUCAAAGGAAUUGACGGGGACCCGCACAAGCAGCGGAGCAUGUGGUUUAAUUCGAAGCAACGCGAAGAACCUUACCAGAGCUUGACAUCCCUCUGACCGGUCGGUAAUGCGACCUUCCCUUCGGGGCAGAGGUGACAGGUGG
This 245-nucleotide ribosomal RNA is filed under the name uncultured Eubacteriales bacterium. RNAcentral describes it as "uncultured Clostridiales bacterium partial 16S ribosomal RNA". It matches the Rfam family "Bacterial small subunit ribosomal RNA", at positions 796 to 1041 of the family's 1533-position model. The record is from RNAcentral. Lineage: Bacteria; Bacillati; Bacillota; Clostridia; Eubacteriales.